AAGCCAGUCGUACCGGCGGGUAAUCAGCCUUUUGGGUGUGAUUAUGUGGAGCGUGAGGAGUUAAACACCUUCAUCUUUACAUAUUCGUGCACUUUGGGUGUACUUGCUCGUGUGGUAGGUUAACAUCAAUUUUGAUCGUCAUAAAAUGAUUGGAGGAAUGUAGCUUCGAUCUCGUAUUGAAGUGUUAUAGCCUUUGGUAGAUGUGAUGAUUGGGAUUGAGGAUUGCAACGGAUACCCUUCGGGGCUACCUGUCUGAUCUCUGAAAGUUGCUCUGGUGGCGAAAGCUUGCUUACGUUAUCAAAGUUGACGUUCAACAGGUUAGAACGGGAUAAAUUCGUUAAGGAUGUUGACGUAAUGGCUUUAAACGACCCGUCUUGAAACACGGACCAAGA
RNAcentral lists this ribosomal RNA (392 nucleotides) under Glomeromycota sp. RNAcentral's name for it is "partial large subunit ribosomal RNA". Lineage: Eukaryota; Fungi; Glomeromycota. The record is from RNAcentral.